GACGAACGCUGGCGGCGUGCCUAAUACAUGCAAGUCGAACGCACAGUUUAUACCGUAGCUUGCUACACCAUAGACUGUGAGUUGCGAACGGGUGAGUAACGCGUAGGUAACCUGCCUGGUAGCGGGGGAUAACUAUUGGAAACGAUAGCUAAUACCGCAUAAUAUUAAUUAUUGCAUGAUAAUUAAUUGAAAGGUGCAAUUGCACCACUACCAGAUGGACCUGCGUUGUAUUAGCUAGUAGGUGAGGUAACGGCUCACCUAGGCGACGAUACAUAGCCGACCUGAGAGGGUGAUCGGCCACACUGGGACUGAGACACGGCCCAGACUCCUACGGGAGGCAGCAGUAGGGAAUCUUCGGCAAUGGACGAAAGGCUGACCGAGCAACGCCGCGGGAGUGAAGAAGGUUUUCGGAUCGUAAAGCUCUGUUGUAAGAGAAGAACGGGUGUGAGAGUGGAAAGUUCACACUGUGACGGUAUCUGACCAGAAAGGGACGGCUAACUACGUG
This 505-nucleotide ribosomal RNA is filed under the name uncultured bacterium. RNAcentral's name for it is "partial 16S ribosomal RNA". It matches the Rfam family "Bacterial small subunit ribosomal RNA", at positions 28 to 507 of the family's 1533-position model. The record is from RNAcentral.